Molecule: non-coding RNA, 90 nt
Filed under: uncultured Treponema sp.
Lineage: Bacteria; Pseudomonadati; Spirochaetota; Spirochaetia; Treponematales; Treponemataceae
Source: RNAcentral
AACCGGGGUGUUCGCUUUUCUUGUCAAGCAAUGCGGACUGAGAUAAUACCCGUAGACCUGAUCCGGAUAAUACCGGCGGAGGAAGCAAUG